UCCCUGAUAGUAUAUCGGUUAGUACACCCGCCUGUCACGCGGGAGAGCGGAGUUCGAUUCUCCGUCAGAGAG
This 72-nucleotide transfer RNA is filed under the name Hydnomerulius pinastri MD-312. RNAcentral describes it as "tRNA-Asp (GTC) (tRNA-Asp-GTC-2-1)". It matches the Rfam family "tRNA". From Rfam's summary of the family: Transfer RNA (tRNA) molecules are approximately 80 nucleotides in length. Their secondary structure includes four short double-helical elements and three loops (D, anti-codon, and T loops). Lineage: Eukaryota; Fungi; Basidiomycota; Agaricomycetes; Boletales. The record is from RNAcentral.